Molecule: long non-coding RNA, 1261 nt
Filed under: Coturnix japonica (Japanese quail)
Lineage: Eukaryota; Metazoa; Chordata; Aves; Galliformes; Phasianidae
Description: lncRNA (ENSCJPG00005003473.1)
Source: RNAcentral
UCCUCCCCCGUGAGACCAAUCGGCUGGGGAUUGUGGGUGNNNNNNNNNNNNNNNNNNNNNNNNNCCAAAAUUGGACUUUUUUGACCCAAAAUUGAACUUUUUGGUCCCAAAACUGGUGGUUUUUGGGCCUAAAUUUGGACUUUUUGGGCCUAAAAUUGGACUUUUUCGUCCCAAAAUUGGACUUUUUAGCCCCAAAAUUGGCCAUUUCAGCCCCAAAUUUCGCCAUUUUGGGCCCAGAAUUCCACAUUUUUUACCCCAAAGUGAGACUUUUUAGCCUCAAAAUUGGACAUUUUUGACCCAAAAUUGGACUUUUUUGACCCAAAACGUUCCUUUUUAGCCCCAAAAUCUGCUAUUUUGGCUCAUUUUUGACCCAAAAAGGGACUUUUUAGCCCCAAAAUUGGACAUUUUUGGCUCCAAAUCCAACAUUUUUGGCCCAAAUUUGGACUUUUUUGACCCAAAAUCGGCGUUUUUAGCCCCAAAAUGGUGCUUUGAAGUGGGAUUGAAAUAAAGGCUGUAAUAAAUGGGCGGAUUUUGGGCUGAAUUCGGCGGAUUUUGGUUAAUAAUGGCGGCUCGUGGGCGGGAUUUGGGGUCGGAUCUCGCGAGAUUUGGGGCUCGGUUGAAAACGGGGCGAAUUUGGGUCAUUUUGGGUCGAUUUGGGGCUUUUUGGUUAUUUCGCCUUCUCAUUGGGCGAGCCGCGCGUCCAUCACUCUGAGCCCCGCCUCUUCCUCCCCGUGAACCAAUCGCGGAUUGUGGGUGGGUUCAUUGCCGUGCUCUGAGCGCUCCCAUUGGCUGAGCGCUCUUCUGCCGCGCUCCUAUUGGCUGAGAAGCCGGUUUCCGGUUCCGGUGGGAGUCAGGAGCAAGAUGGCGGCUGUCGGGGAGGCCGUGACGCUGUUGAAGGAGCUUCGAGAGGAGGGCAUUUCGUUGCUGGGGGUGCGGGCGGCCGCCAUCUUGAAUUACGUCACCGACCUCGGCCUCGUGCUGAGAGCCAAGAGCGGGGGGAGGAGCUUGAGGGAAGAGCCCGCGUUGCCACGGAUACUGGAGAGCCGCGUGGUGCUGGAGAAGCUCCGCCCCCUGGAGCAGCGAAUCCGGUACCAGGUGGACAAACUGAUCCGGGCCGAUGGAACGACGGGUUUGAGCCAAAAUCCGACUUUUUAGCCCCAAAAUGCCCCUUUCUGACCCCAAAAACCCCCUUUUUCACCCCAAAAUGGCCAUUUCUGACCCCAAAAACCCCUUUUUAGCCCCAAAAUGGCCAUUUCUGACC